This 398-nucleotide ribosomal RNA is filed under the name uncultured bacterium. RNAcentral's name for it is "partial 16S ribosomal RNA". It matches the Rfam family "Bacterial small subunit ribosomal RNA", at positions 523 to 918 of the family's 1533-position model. The record is from RNAcentral.
AUACGUAGGGUGCGAGCGUUGUCCGGAAUUACUGGGCGUAAAGAGCUCGUAGGUGGUUUGUCGCGUCGUCUGUGAAAUUCCGGGGCUUAACUCCGGGCGUGCAGGCGAUACGGGCAUAACUUGAGCACUGUAGGGGAGACUGGAAUUCCUGGUGUAGCGGUGAAAUGCGCAGAUAUCAGGAGGAACACCGGUGGCGAAGGGGGGUCUCUGGGCAGUAACGGACGCUGAGGAGGGAAAGCAUGGGUAGCGAACAGGAUUAGAUACCCUGGUAGUCCAUGCCGUAAACGGUGGGCGCUAGGUGUAGGGGUCUUCCACGACUUCUGUGCCGUAGCUAACGCAUUAAGCGCCCCGCCUGGGGAGUACGGCCGCAAGGCUAAAACUCAAAGGAAUUGACGGGG